UAAGGCACUUUAGCAGCCAAGA
RNAcentral lists this microRNA (22 nucleotides) under Drosophila virilis. RNAcentral describes it as "dvi-miR-9695-3p". The record is from miRBase by way of RNAcentral. Lineage: Eukaryota; Metazoa; Arthropoda; Insecta; Diptera; Drosophilidae.